GCGCUGAGUGCGUGCCGCUCCGCAGACCCAAGAGGCUGAAACAAGCGAUUUCUGUCGUGAUUCACUGGGGCCGCUAACGUGCACUCCCUCUUUUCAUCUUAGGACAUGACACCAGUGGCAUAUCACGGCCAUGGGGUCUCAGCAUUCCGCUGCUGCUCGCCCCUCCUCCUGGAGGCGAAAGCAAGAAGAUGACAGGGACGGUUUGCUGGCUGAACGAGAGCAGGAAGAAGCCAUUGCUCAGUUCCCAUAUGUGGAAUUCACCGGGAGAGAUAGCAUCACCUGUCUCACGUGCCAGGGGACAGGCUACAUUCCAACAGAGCAAGUAAAUGAGUUGGUGGCUUUGAUCCCACACAGUGAUCAGAGAUUGCGCCCUCAGCGAACGUGAGUUACCUGCCUCUCACCUGUCAAUACCUACUUCUGUCCCUAAUCUCUUUCUGUAUGUAUGAAUGCCAGUUAAUUCUUUGAAAACUACAUAUGUUCUUAUAAGUUCCCCAUUUUCCUUUUAACUGUUUGCCCAAGUAAGAUAUUUCUGCCCCCAUCACAAUCUGGGGAAAGAAA
Molecule: small RNA, 558 nt
Filed under: Pongo abelii (Sumatran orangutan)
Lineage: Eukaryota; Metazoa; Chordata; Mammalia; Primates; Hominidae
Description: retained intron
Source: RNAcentral